UGUUAUAGCGGCGCGAUGAAACCCCAUGGCGGCGGUGGCCCGGCGGUCAGCGGAUCGAUGGAUGGCUGGACGCGACGGAGGAGGUGUCGAGGAGGACGAGGGCGCCAAAGCGUUCGGCCAGACGAUAGGCGAUGGCGCAGGGUCUUCGGCCGGCUCGGGAUUCUUGGUUACGCGGAGGUCCACCACGGGACGCAGGCUCCUCGCCAUGGCGGUAAUCUCCCUCCUGUUCGCUCGGUUGUGCAAGAUGGAUGAAGGGCUCGGCAAUAUAUGCCCAUAGAGGAGGCCGAUUGAAUCUUAGAUAGCAUCCGUGUUUGUUACGGAAUCACACAGAUCUCAACAACCUGAACCCAACGCAAUCCCUAUGAGUCCGGCGGUCAUGGGACCUGGUCCAGCUGCUCCCCGGCCGCAUCGCCUACGUGCUGGGUUGAAUUUGCAUGAUGACAUCACUUCUUGCAUCAGCAUGACGUAAGCUCCGUCUAGGUGAAUAAAGAAAGUGGAAAUUCAACGUCUCCUAUGUGGUACGUCUCGAGUAGUAGUUUUAUUUUUUUUCUUUUAUGUUUCUUAUUUUCCCAUUUCAGUUUUAAAUCCCAACUUCAAUUUUUAUUCUAGGUUUUAGACUUUAAUAGAAUUCACAACAAACAGAUAAAAUAUCCAGUAUAAUAUGCAAGUAUUUUUUUUACUAAUUAUCUUACCUCGUUAUUUGAAAAUUUAUUUCAAAUAUGCAAUGCACACAUGAAAUGUUUAUUUUUAAGAAAAUAUGGUUUUAAGUAUUUUAGUUAAAAUUUCAUUUAAAAGUGAAUAUUCAUUACUUGAUUAUUUUAGGGGGAAGUAAUGUAUUUUUUUUCUAUCAUGAGUUACUUUAACACGUAAAAAAAUAUUUUAUAUACAGUCCUAGAAGGGGAUAAUCCAUUCAUUAUUUCUUGAAAUUUACAAACUGAAUUUCUAUUUCUAUUUUACCUUAACUAAUAUUGUUUUAAUGUUUCUAUUUAUUUUUAGAAGAUGGUGGGUUCCAAAGUAUAACUAUUCAUUAGGGACACUUUACUUUGAUUUCUAUUACUAUUCCCCAAAAUCAGAUUUCGGGCGUUACAAAUCCUACCCCCUUAAAAAUAAUCUCGUCCUCGAGAUUUGUAAGAAAAAGGAUACAAUAGGUAUGGUUUAGAAUUUUAGUUUCUCAUUGGGUUUUGGAAAUCAAAGUUUUGUUCAAGGUUUUUUUACAUAACAGUUAGUAGACGAUUUGGAACAUAUGGAUAUUGUAUGUCUAGCCAUCUAUUAUGUCACAUGAGGCACGAUUAUGGCAAGGGUGUAAUAAGGACAGACUUCAUCCAGAACCGUGGAUCUUGAUUCCGCUGGCGAUUCAACUUGAUCUUUGAAGACUUGAGUUGGUGCUUAUCCUUUCUUGAUGACGUUGAUCCUCUUUGGUCUUCGUUCUUGAUGUUGUUAUCCGAAUCAGAGAUAUGUGGUUAAGGCAGUUUCGUAGGUAAACAAAAUAGGUUAGUCGGUGGUUAUGAGUUAAAUAAGUUUAAACAGAAUUUGUCUUGUUGUUUUGCUUCUAGGUCGGGUUAGGCAGGUUAUGCAACCCAACAUGUAGGUCAGGUUGGUUGUAUAUGACCAAGUUAGUGCAGGGCACCAAUUUUAGGUUAAAACAUGACUAUAGAAGUAGAGUUUAAUCUAUUUCACCAAGAUUAACUAACAUGUUAGAUGACUCACUUUAGAUUGGAUCAUAUUAGAUUAGAUGGGAUCUAGAUUAGAUUGGUAUAAUUAGAUUAGACUAGAUAAUAUCUAAUUACAUUGGAUUAGAUCAUGGUUGUUACACUAGUGCGGGAUAAAUAUGCUUAUUAGGGCAAGAUGAAUCCAUAAGGAUAAGAUAGAAUCUUUUAAGGUCAGUUAUAUCUAUUAGGAUGAGAUAAAAUCUUUUCAAGAUAAGAUGAGAAUCUAUUUUUUUAGGAUAAGAUGGAUCUAUGAGUGUAGGAUAGACUUUUUCAAGAUAAGAUGGAUUUUGCUAGGCUAGAUUCUUUGAUGAGGGAUAACCUAGUUCAUUUAGAUAUUUUUAUAACUGUUUUUUUUCUAUAUGUAUAUGCAGAUGUGAUUGUGGACAUUACUCCACAACUAAUCACAUUCAAUCAAAGAUCCAAAUCAAACAAGUAUCAUAAGAACAAACAUUCAAGCAUACAAAUACCCAUAAAAAUAGUUUUGUUUUUGUUCCUAAGAGUAGGUCUCCUAUUCCUAAAGUCACUUUAGGCACAGGAUUUCAAAGUGUGAAAUCCACAUUUGUCUUUAGAAUGAAAGGGGUAAGAAUAAUCAGAGUAAAGCGGAAAUAGAUGAGAAAGAUUAAGAAAAGUUUAGAGAGAAUCAGAGUAGCAAAGGUAAGUAGACAAUGGUUGUCCAGUUCUAUCUAGGUUUCGUCCUACAGUCAACAUUCCUCUGAUACCACUUUUGUAACACCCGGAUUUUAGGGGGUCCAAAGCCCGGGUGUAAACAUAAUCACCAGGUGUGCUGGGACCAAGUCUCACACAUAUGAUGAAUCAUGGCACAGGAUCGAAUGUCACAUCUUUACUAUAUAAUAGGAGUUCUAUACAAAAUAAAUAAUUACAUUAUAAGGAGACAACGGUCCAGCAACCCAAAGUUGACUGGGAGACGACGGCCUAGACCACUCACGAACUCAUCACAGCAUCCUCCACGCGCCUCAUCCUGUGGUACCUGCUCUUGACCUGUGGGGGGGGGGUGUGAGACAGCAAGAGUGAGCUCACAUACGUUCAUCGCUCAACAAGUUGUGGGGAAUAAUGUGAAUGAACUCGCCAAAGGUGGGAGUUCAUGUGAAGUGUAAGGCUUACCAAAAAGGAUGGUUAGAGCUGAGCAUUGCUUUUAAAGUUGGUCAAAAUUUUAUUAGCAAUUACUAAGUAUAAGUAAAUACCAACCCAAUUAAAUAGUAGAACAGAAGUAACAACCUCACCUGCGAUGCAAUGCAUAUGACAAAUUGAGUUUAAGUUCCAUAAUUUAAUCAUGUGAGGGUCCGAGCUGCUCAUGACCGUGAGCACGGCUAGUAUACCAGUUUUACACUCUGCAGAGGUUGCGCAUCUUUACCCACAAGUCAUGUUACCCAUCUGCCAAGGGAUCGCGACUUCCCAUACACCUCUACCGAGGAGGCGAGGCAGGGUAACACUACGAGGCCUUUACAAAGUUCCACUAGCUUCAGAAAACCCGCUACAGUUUAUAGGAAGCUCCAAUGCAGGAAUUCCCUUGCAGAACCGCCAUCGCAGCAAAAUCCUCCCGAGGGCCUCCCUACACUGACCACUCCCCUACUGCCCUUGCCCCUUUCGGGUAAGGUAGUCCUCCACUAGCUUUCCUAAUUAAUCAGCCAAGGGCGUCCCAUUAUACCCUUGUGGUAGCACUGUUUUCCCGGGUGGUCGCUCCAUAUUCCAAUUAACAUAAUGAUCUUAUCAUGAACGAUAAAUAACAACGGAUAACAAAAGUAUAAUCAUGAGUAAUGUAUCUUCAUACCCAAAACCACAUAAAGCACUAGCAAGUACUACCCAAAAAGUUCAGUGGUAACAAGGUAUAAAGAUAAUCAAACUAGGGUAACCUAUUGGGUCCCAUCAAAAUUUAACCUAUGCAGAUCAUUAUGAUUAAUCAGAACAUGGUUGGGUAAAAAGAAGUGAUCAAGGGCACAACUUGCCUGGGACUUGAGAUUCCAGGUACCAACUUGCUCUUCAGAUGACACGUGACCUCGCUCUAGUCGUAGUAAUACAAACAAACAUUGUAUAGGAAACAUUACACCAAACAUAAGUACAAAUAUAUAUUAAUAAUCUACAUAUUAAAAUAAGAUCAAAGGAACAAGAAUUAUUAAUUUUGGAGUUAUAGAUUUUAAGAUAUGAAUUUCCAAAGGUUUUAUGUGCUUGAAAUAGGGUUAAGUGAGAAAUUAUUUUUCUUACUAUUUUCAUGUCGAAACAUAGGCUCUAAGUGAUAGAGAAUAAUAUUACAAAAUUUUAGAAAGUGGAAUGGGUUAAUUUGGAGCUCAUAUGAAUUUUCUAUGAAUUAUUAAAGUUCUAGCAUUUAUUUUUGUAUUUAAAAAUCUAUUUUCCAAUUACUUUUCUCUGAUUUUAUAAUACUCUGGACUGCGCGUCAUUUACUAAGAAAUACAGGGGCUAACCCGCAAGAUCGCCAAGACACAGCGCACCACUGGUCUGGACCGCGGGUUAGUUUAAUCAAAAUCCGAGGGCUCUUAAGAAAAUGUACCAGGGCCGAAGGGGUAUCCUUUAAUCAGAGUCGUCCGAUCAACUCCGGACGCACCAGAUUAAAUCGUGAGGGGUCUGAAUCGGUACGUGCCAUGAGCAGUCCGAUCGUGAUCCGACGGUCGCGGGUGAAACAUUACCUAGAUCUAAUCCUAGCCCUUCAACUGGUUAAUCAACGGUCAGGAUUCAAUCGGUCGAAUAGCUCUCUCAGGCGAUCUGAUCACAGCCGCAAGAAAGGGAUCCAACGGUCGGUGCCUUUCUCCCUCCCUGCGCACACAACAGGGCAGAGGCGAGCGAUUCGCACGGCGGCGCUCCCGGCGAGCUCACCGUGGAUACCGCCCAACGAUGGGACCGACCCGAGUUUGACAAGCUCUACACGAGGCUCAGCAUAUGGCGGACUCAAUCCGAAACCCUGAACAGCCAGAUAGGAUAAGCCCUGGCCCCUUUCCAUGGCGUGGCGCGGCGCCACGGCUCUAAUGGCGCGCUGGUGGCAAUUCCAGGUCUACAGACGGCCCAAAUCCUACCCCGCGAAACCCUAUGCGUCGAGGAUCAACAAUGAAAACGAUGAAGGAGCCCUUACGUGUUAUAGCGGCGCGAUGAAACCCCAUGGCGGCGGUGGCCCGGCGGUCAGCGGAUCGAUGGAUGGCUGGACGCGACGGAGGAGGUGUCGAGGAGGACGAGGGCGCCAAAGCGUUCGGCCAGACGAUAGGCGAUGGCGCAGGGUCUUCGGCCGGCUCGGGAUUCUUGGUGACGCGGAGGUCCACCACGGGACGCAGGCUCCUCGCCAUGGCGGUAAUCUCCCUCCUGUUCGCUCGGUUGUGCAAGAUGGAUGAAGGGCUCGGCAAUAUAUGCCCAUAGAGGAGGCCGAAUGAAUCUUAGAUAGCAUCCGUGUUUGUUACGGAAUCACACAGAUCUCAACAACCUGAACCCAACGCAAUCCCUAUGAGUCCGGCGGUCAUGGGACCUGGUCCAGCUGCUCCCCGGCCGCAUCGCCUACGUGCUGGGUUGAAUUUGCAUGAUGACAUCACUUCUUGCAUCAGCAUGACGUAAGCUCCGUCUAGGUGAAUAAAGAAAGUGGA
RNAcentral lists this long non-coding RNA (5308 nucleotides) under Zea mays. RNAcentral's name for it is "long non-coding RNA (ZMAY_LNC001511)". Lineage: Eukaryota; Viridiplantae; Streptophyta; Magnoliopsida; Poales; Poaceae. The record is from RNAcentral.